RNAcentral lists this ribosomal RNA (497 nucleotides) under uncultured bacterium. RNAcentral describes it as "partial 16S ribosomal RNA". It matches the Rfam family "Bacterial small subunit ribosomal RNA", at positions 28 to 507 of the family's 1533-position model. The record is from RNAcentral.
GAUGAACGCUGGCGGCGUGCCUAAUACAUGCAAGUCGAGCGAACAGACGAGGAGCUUGCUCCUCUGACGUUAGCGGCGGACGGGUGAGUAACACGUGGAUAACCUACCUAUAAGACUGGGAUAACUUCGGGAAACCGGAGCUAAUACCGGAUAAUAUAUUGAACCGCAUGGUUCAAUAGUGAAAGACGGUUUUGCUGUCACUUAUAGAUGGAUCCGCGCCGCAUUAGCUAGUUGGUAAGGUAACGGCUUACCAAGGCGACGAUGCGUAGCCGGCCUGAGAGGGUGAUCGGCCACACUGGAACUGAGACACGGUCCAGACUCCUACGGGAGGCAGCAGUAGGGAAUCUUCCGCAAUGGGCGAAAGCUUGACGGAGCAACGCCGCGUGAGUGAUGAAGGUCUUCGGAUCGUAAAACUCUGUUAUUAGGGAAGAACAAAUGUGUAAGUAACUAUGCACGUCUUGACGGUACCUAAUCAGAAAGCCACGGCUAACUACGUG